MicroRNA precursor from Gallus gallus (chicken), 82 nucleotides. The record is from Ensembl. Lineage: Eukaryota; Metazoa; Chordata; Aves; Galliformes; Phasianidae.
UACCUACACAGGCAGACUUGCCCUCACCUCGUUGCUGCACAGGUAGAGGAGGGCUUGCAGGCGGUGUGCCUCUGGUUUGGUG